AACAAACCAUUUUCUCACAUUCUCUUUUAGUAUCUCUAUCUCUACUAUUUAAAACAUUUGAGUUGCUGAUGAUGGUUUGUUUACCAUCACCACUACUUUGCCUAUAAAUUUUGGUUUAUUUAUCCACCCUGCCUUAGGGAUUUACUGUUUGUCUUAUUUCACUUACACAUUUCAGUAAUUAUCUACAUGCUUGUCAUUUGUAUCCCCUCUAUGAUACCAUUUUCACAUGAAUUAUGCAUGCACAUGUAACAUUUUUAUUUAUUAUGCCAUUGCAACGUACACAAUUUUGCUAGUACCAACAAAAUGAGAAGAGUAGUAAGGAGGAAAUUUCGUAAGUGUAAUGAGGAGGAAUUUUCUUCUCUUUAUGAUAAAUAUUAGCAAGAUUUCAUCUCAUCAUCUGAAGGCGCAUACAAAGAACUUUCAUAGAAACUCUCUGAAUAUGUGGCAAGGAAUUACUGAUCCCUUUUGCUAAUUGGAGCAGGUGAGUACCACCGCAUUCUAUUUCUUUACUGCCCUCUGCAUGUUCCAUUCAUUUGACUACAUGAUUUUGUUACUUGUUUGUUUAGAAUUUCGAUUUUAAGCCACUAUAUUUGCUAAGAUUCUAGAUCCGGGCAGCCCCUAAUCCAUUCUGUUACUUUACCCUAUUGUUUUUUUUUUCAUUCAAUUAUUCAUGCUCUUAUCCAUAUCUGUGUUCCAUUGUUUGCUAGGACACACGUAUGAUGACUUUUUAACAGUAGUUAAUUUCUUAUAUUUCAUAUCAGUAAUUUCUUAGAUCCAGCUCUCAACUGUUGCACUAUUUAUUUUAAUUUUUCCCCGAAGAUCCUUUGUUCUAAUGACUUUGCAGCACAUAAAUUGGUAGCUACUGCCACCAAUUCACCAUACGUGCUAACUCUGAUGUUGUCUUCUUCCUGUGCGAGGCCUAAUUUCUCCCAGCAGCAGGAAAGUUCCUGUGCGAGGCCGGAUGUGCUCUGGGCACUGGGCAGCAACAGCAUGGUCUUUUGUUGUGGAUGUGCUUGCAGAAAAGGAAAGAAAGAUGCAGAGGGAUUUGCCAAGGGAUUUCAGUAAUGAAAUCAGUGUAAUCAUCAUACAGGAACUCUACCAGCUUGACAUGGUUGUGAACGCCAUCCUCUGACCUUUCCAAGUUGCUCACUACUGAUGCUGGAAUGGAGCUUUGGGAGAAGACGUGAGGUUGAUGAUAAACCAAAUUAAGCACAUUCAUAAGGUAAUGGAAAGUUAUUCCUGGCUGCAGUAAAUCAGUUUGUUGAAAAACUCUUUACUCCCUCCUGGCUACGGAAAUAAAACUACAAUAAAGGAUCGUACAAAUAAUUUGCUUGGUAUUUGAUGCGAGCAUGUGGCUUCAUAUUCGAUUGGUAUGUAUAGAUGUGCUGGUCAAUAUCAUUGGUAUUUUUAAAUUUGCUUGUCUUUGUGAUGUUAGCAGCCCUUAAUUUUAAAUCAAGUGAAUAUUUAUUGAGUAGCACGGCCAGCAGAAAGAGUUGAGCUAGGAUAGAAGCUCAUAGUAAGAAUUAAGUUCAAUAAAUGAACUCAGCAGAUCCUUAUUUUUGGUUUCUAUGCCACCGAGUUAUUCAAUUAUAUUAUUCAAAGGGCAGUAUUGGUUUUUGAGUUUAGUUCUGUCAGCAUGAUUUCUAUGCCUGAGACAUGCAGUUAGCAAACUUUGCCAUAAACCUUAAGUGAGCUGUUCCUAUCUCUAGAUAAUAUAUCACAUCAUAUAUAUCAAAAUUGCAAUUUUGAUGCAUGUACAUAUUUGCAUAAAUUUACUGCAGCUUCAUGUUACUAAUGCCAUGUUUCCACACAUUUUUCAGGAAUGUGGGCUCAAGUGGUCUCAUGACAACUGUCAAUUUGCUUCUGGUGCUAAUGGCAAAAGAGUAAGAUGCUACUCCACAAGUUUCCAUCAAUCUAGCUCUUGUAUUGUAACAAAUCAAAUGCUUUUAGAGCUAUUCACAGCUUCUCUUUUUCAUAGUAGCAAUCUGUGUUCCCAACAUACCUUUGUAAGCUUGUGCAAAUGAUCUUUGCUUGCAGUGUGUGCCAUACAUAAUCAGGUGCUGCCGUAAUAAUUAGUAAAUAGGGAUGCAAGUGGUAACAUAAACAUUUGAUGACUCUGUUAGUGUCCUCUUUAGGAACUGAAUAUUUUCUUGGAAAGACCAAAAUUAAACAAUUUAAACACUUUCAAAUGUUGUACUAAAAUGAAACAUAUACAUCUUAUACUAUACAAUUGUCCGGUUUGGAGGAAUUUUGGGCUAAGUAGUUCAUUGGAAAUGAUGGUAAAUGCACUGAAUUUUAAUUUUCAUCCCUUAGCAAAUUGAUAGUCCCUGUCUCCCUCUGAUUUGACUGACCAGAGCAGUAUUUGUCUAUUACGAGUUCAGGAAGUUACUACAUGACUUGAUGUUGUUUCAAUUCCCAGGUGAAUUCUCAGACCUAUGACAAUUUUGAUUAAUGGACAGGGGAUGUCAAAUUAUUUCGGUUGUCAAAUUAGUGUCACCAGAAGAAAUGGUGUUGUCUGGUUGUAAAAUAAUCCAUGGGUAAGUUUGCAAAAAUGAAACCCAUAUAUGGCAUUUUAAAAAAAACAGCAAGAAGAUUGCCUUAUCAACCUUCAGCUCUGCUUGUUAACGACGAGCAUACUCAAAUGAUCCAGUGCUUUGGUGUUAUCUGGCUGGUGAGAUCAAUGAUUACUAGAGACACAUUUCAAUUUGCUUGUUAAUUGUUCAUAAAUUGCAAAUAGGCCCCAUUGCUCAUGCAUCUCCAACCAUAACAAUUUUUCCUUCGCAUGUUACUAUCAGUGGUCUUGGGCCUCCAUCUGUAGCAGG
This is a long non-coding RNA of Setaria italica (foxtail millet), 2822 nucleotides long. RefSeq lists it as uncharacterized. The record is from RefSeq and is a predicted model, not a curated record. The transcript has 3 exons. Lineage: Eukaryota; Viridiplantae; Streptophyta; Magnoliopsida; Poales; Poaceae.